UGCGUAGGCGGACUAAUAAGUCAGUGGUGAAAUCUUUCGGCUCAACCGGGAAACUGCCAUUGAUACUGUUAGUCUUGAGUUCGGUUGAGGUGGGCGGAAUGUGUAAUGUAGCGGUGAAAUGCUUAGAUAUUACACAGAACACCAAUUGCGUAGGCAGCUUACUAGACCGACACUGACGCUGAGGCACGAAAGCGUGGGGAGCGAACAGGAUUAGAUACCCUGGUAGUCC
This 229-nucleotide ribosomal RNA is filed under the name uncultured bacterium. Its description in RNAcentral is "partial 16S ribosomal RNA". It matches the Rfam family "Bacterial small subunit ribosomal RNA", at positions 568 to 796 of the family's 1533-position model. The record is from RNAcentral.